UGCAAAGUUGUGUAGUGCGAUCGGUGGAUGCCUUGGCACCAAGAGCCGAUGAAGGACGUUGUGACCUGCGAUAAGCCCUGGGGAGUUGGUGAGCGAGCUGUGAUCCGUGGGUGUCCGAAUGGGGAAACCUGGAAUGUCCGGAGUAGUGUCCGGUGGCCCUGCCCUGAAUGUAUAGGGGACGAGCGCAACCCUUGUUCACUGUUGCCAGCACGUUAUGGUGGGAAGAGAAAACAAGUGUGAUUCCGUGAGUAGUGGCGAGCGAAAGCGGAGGAGGCUAAACCGUGUGUGUGUUCAAGCCGGCAGGUGUUGCAUGUGCGGGGUUGUGGGGGCCUUGUGGUUCUGCUGCCGCAGGAUUGGCCAGUGAGAAAUGUUGCGUGAAGGUGAAGCGUCUGGGAAGGCGUACCGGAGUGGGUGAGAGUCCUGUAACUGUAAGCGUGGCACUGGUGUGGGGUUGCCCCGAGUAGCGUGGGACUCGUGGAAUUUCGCGUGAAUCUGGCGGGACCACCCGUCAAGCCUAAAUACUCCUUGGUGACCGAUAGUGGAUGAGUACCGUGAGGGUGAUUAGGACUAAGUCGUAACAAGGUAGCCGUACCGGAAGGUGCGGCUGGAUUGCAAGCCGUCAGAGCCUGUGUGGUGAUGGCGUGCCUUUUGAAGAAUGAGCCUGCGAGUUAGUGAUGCGUGGCGAGGUUAACCCGGGGGUGGGGAGUCGUAGCGAAAGCGAGUCCGAUAAGGGCGUGAGUCGCGUGUUCUAGACCCGAAGCGGUGUGAUCUAUCCAUGGCCAGGAUGAAGCGUCGGUAAGACGUCGUGGAGGUCCGAACCCACUUCAGUUGAAAAUGGAGGGGAUGAGUUGUGGAUAGGGGUGAAAGGCCAAUCAAACACCGUGAUAGCUGGUUCUCCCCGAAAUGCAUUUAGGUGCAGCGUUGCGUGGUUCUUGUUGGAGGUAGAGCACUGGAUGGUCUAGGGGGCUUAUCGGCUUACCGAAAUCAGCCAAACUCCGAAUGCUGGCAAGUGUAGCGUGGCAGUGAGACGGGCGGGGAUAAGCUUCGUCGUCGAGAGGGAAACAGCCCAGAUCAUCAGCUAAGGCCCCUAAGUGGUGACUCAGUGGGAAAGGAUGUGGAGUUGCGUAGACAACCAGGAGGUUGGCUUGGAAGCAGCCAUCCUUGAAAGAGUGCGUAAUAGCUCACUGGUCAAGUGAUUCCGCGCCGAUAAUGUAGCGGGGCUUAAGUUAUCCGCCGAAGCUGUGGCAACCUGUGUGGUUGGGUAGGGGAGCGUCGUGUCAGUGGUGAAGCUGCCGGGUGACUGUGUGGUGGAGUUGAUGCGAGUGAGAAUGCAGGCAUGAGUAGCGUGUGACGGGUGGGAAUCCCGUCCGCCGAUUAUCCAAGGGUUCCAGGGUCAAGUUUGUCUGCCCUGGGUGAGUCGGGUCCUAAGGCGAGGCCGACAGGCGUAGUCGAUGGGUAACCAGUUGAUAUUCUGGUACCGGCUUGUCACCGUCCGUGUCGAGGUGUGUGAUGCUAAGCAUGUGAGCUUGUCUUGGGAGUGUUUUUGAUGCUUCUGGGGUGGGUGAGUGUGUGAACCGAUCAUGUAGUAGGCAAGCUGCGGAGGGACGCAGUGAGGUAGCUCAUCCCCGGUGAUGGUUGUCCGGGGCUAAGUGUGUGGACUGUCUGGUAGGUAAAUCCGCUGGGCGUGAAGGUUGAGGCAUGAUGGGGAGCCCAUGGUUGUGGGUGAGUGAGUGAUCCUGUACUGUCGAGAAAAGCUUCGUGAGCGAGGUGGCGGGUCCGCCCGUACCCUAAACCGACACUGGUGGAUAGGUAGAGUAUACCGAGGCGAUCGAGUGAAUCGUGGUGAAGGAACUCGGCAAAAUGCCCCCGUAACUUUGGGAUAAGGGGGACCUGAGCUGUCGUGCACCCGUGCGGUGUGGUGGCGGUGAGGGGCGCAGAGUCCAGGGGGAAACGACUGUUUACCAAAAACACAGGUCCGUGCGAAGUCGUAAGACGAUGUAUACGGACUGACUCCUGCCCGGUGCUGGAAGGUUAAGGGGAACUGUGAGUGUAUGCGUAGCGGUGAACUUAAGCCCCAGUAAACGGCGGUGGUAACUAUAACCAUCCUAAGGUAGCGAAAUUCCUUGUCGGGUAAGUUCCGACCUGCACGAAUGGAGUAACGAUUUCCCUACUGUCUCCACCAUGAACUCGGUGAAAUUGCAUUACGAGUAAAGAUGCUCGUUACGCGCAGCAGGACGGCAAGACCCCGGGACCUUUACUAUAGUUUGGUAUUGGUGAUUGGGACGGUUUGUGUAGGAUAGGUGGGAGACGUUGAUGCGGCCACGCUAGUGGUGGUGGAGUCGUUGGUGAAAUACCACUCUGAUUGUUCUGGUUAUCUCACUGUGGACCGUGAUCCGGUUCAAGGACAGUGCCUGAUGGGUAGUUUGACUGGGGCGGUCGCCUCCUAAAGGGUAACGGAGGCGCCCAAAGGUUCCCUCAGCCUGGUUGGUAAUCAGGUGGUGAGUGUAAGUGCACAAGGGGGCUUGACUGUGAGACUGACAGGUCGAGCAGGGACGAAAGUCGGGACUAGUGAUCUGACGGUGGCUUGUGGAUGCGCCGUCACUCAACGGAUAAAAGGUACCCCGGGGAUAACAGGCUGAUCUUGCCCGAGCGCUCAUAGCGACGGCAUGGUUUGGCACCUCGAUGUCGGCUCGUCGCAUCCUGGGGCUGGAGUCGGUCCCAAGGGUUGGGCUGUUCGCCCAUUAAAGCGGCACGCGAGCUGGGUUCAGAACGUCGUGAGACAGUUCGGUCCCUAUCCGCUGCGCGCGGAGGAAUCUUGAGAAGGGCUGUCUUUAGUACGAGAGGACCGAGACGGACUGACCUCUGGUGUGCCAGUUGUUCUGCCAAGAGCAUGGCUGGUUGGCUACGUCGGGUUGUGAUAACCGCUGAAAGCAUCUAAGCGGGAAGCACGCUUCAAGAUAAGGGUUCCCACAGGAGUGUUCCUGGUAAGGUCCCCGAGAGAUGAUCGGGUUGAUAGGCCAGACGUGGACGCAUCGUAAGGUGUGGAGCUGACUGGUACUAAUAGACCGAGGACUUUCAUU
Molecule: ribosomal RNA, 3080 nt
Filed under: Cutibacterium acnes
Lineage: Bacteria; Bacillati; Actinomycetota; Actinomycetes; Propionibacteriales; Propionibacteriaceae
Description: 23S ribosomal RNA
Rfam family: Bacterial large subunit ribosomal RNA
Source: RNAcentral